UUCACCUUGGCAAAGCUUCCUAUACAAACCUGUGAUCAUAUGCCUUUGUUUUCUCACUUCAGGUACAAGAGAGGUGAGCACAAGAUGGGCCAAAUAUGAGAUGUGGAAUCAGGAAAAACAGAAAAAGUGGAAGAAAUGGCAAACGUGGACGUGAGAGCAGCUGGGUUUUCUAGCUCUGGGCGUCUGCAGGAAUCAUGUUCCAGGAAGGGCUGGGAGAGGCUGCGGGGAAAAGGAAGGGGUGCAGGGGAGUGUGCCCCACCCUUGCCCUGUGCCUGCAGGUGGGCCGGACUUGGACCCUGCCUGGAUGAUCUGCGAAGAAAUAGGGUUCCAAAAGGGCAGAUCCCAAGACAAUGCCUUAUAAAGGUCCUGGCUAACGUUUCCAUGGCAGCUUGCUGAGUGGCCGAGCUGAUCUCAGCCCUUCCAGGGGUGACUCAUUGACUCCUCCCAAGCUGGAGAGGUGAGAGUUCUUUUCCGGUUUACAUAUCAGGAAGCUGAGGCAUGGAAAGGUAGCUGGAGACCACCCUGGCUGAGCUGUGAUCAGUCGCAUCUAGACUAGUUUGGUGUUUCAGAGCAAGUCUCUCAAAUGCCCUGUGCCUCAAUGCUCUCAUCUGCACGUUGGAAGAAAGAAUUCCUGCUUCCCAGAGCCGUUGGGAGGAGUAACAGAGGUGAAGUGUGUAAAGUACACACGAAAGGAACUCAGCUGACAGCAGCAUCUUCACUGGUACCCUUAUCGUUGUUUUAAUUAUUGCAUUGUCGUCCAAGCUGAUGGACUGAGGGGGGUCAUUCCAGUGGACACGGGGGAGCUGAGCUGUGAGGGUCCUGGAUUGCGUGGGGCCAUGUCUGACCUGCAGAUGCUGCAGAGUUUGGGUCGAGUUACACGUGGAAUUGGGGAAUCCCCACUGAAGGGCGCUCUCUGGCCUUUUAGUGGCCACGGUUUGCAAUUUCUUGAGCCAGGGUCACCCUGAACAUUCAUUUCAAGAAACAGGCUGAUUUCACGUAGCUUCUUUCUGACUAAUAAAUUCAAACCAUCCUUCUCCUGAAUCCACCUCAGCCUGGGCCUGAGCAACACGUGGCAUGCUGGGUUUGCUCUGAGCACCUGCUCUGGAGACCCAGAGCCUUUGUUGACCUUCUGCUGGUCAAUGGAAGCCCUGCAGUGGAGGCUCCAGGGAGUGUGCACACCGCGCCUUCACCAGCGCUGGGACCCCAGACCCAAAACUCUGAGGGAAUUCCAGCUUGCAUGAGGUUGGGGCACUCAGGAGACAGACCUCCUGGGCUCCAGGGGCUUUGCAGGCUGCUGGCCAGUGGAAGACCAGCUGCGACCCACUCUCUGCCAGGCUGGGGCUGCACAGAUGCCCAAGGACAGGGCUUCAUGCCUCACACAACUUUCUGAUUAAAAGGCAAUCAAUUAAAAUAAAUCCCUUCGUUUCUAGGGAAGCCCCAUCACACAGGCAUCAUCUGGGCUUGCGUUCUGACAUCAGGGGAAGCUGUGAAAUCACACAGCAAUAAAUAAUAAAGGCUUGAGAUUAAAGUGCUGAUCCUUAUUCCCAAAUUGAUUUUAAAUAUAAUGAGGGUUAUUAUUUAUACAAUGAUCCAGUAAAACUUAAAGUUCAUUAAAUGUCUCUCUGAGUCUUUGAUUAUUUUUUAACUGAUUUGGCCAAUAUCUGUAAGUGUUUUCUAUUAUCCAAACCAUAUUUAUACCUAUAUAUCUAUGUCUAUAUCUAUAUCUAUCUAUGUAUAUCCCAUACAAAUA
RNAcentral lists this long non-coding RNA (1750 nucleotides) under Homo sapiens (human). RNAcentral's name for it is "HSALNT0355692". Lineage: Eukaryota; Metazoa; Chordata; Mammalia; Primates; Hominidae. The record is from RNAcentral.